Molecule: non-coding RNA, 126 nt
Organism: Triticum aestivum (bread wheat)
Lineage: Eukaryota; Viridiplantae; Streptophyta; Magnoliopsida; Poales; Poaceae
Source: Rfam
CAUAUACUCCCUCCGUCCGAAAAAGCUUGUGCCAAGGUUGUCCCUCAAAUGGAUGUAACUAGCACUAACUUGGUGCUAGAUACAUCCAUUUGAGUGACAAUCUUUUUUGGACGGAGGGAGUACAUG